UAGGUGAAUGCUCGCGGGUUGGAGCGCUUAGCUGUUAACUAAGAGUUUGGAGGAUCGAGGCCUCCUCAUCUAG
Molecule: transfer RNA, 73 nt
Filed under: Astronesthes lucifer (Pacific snaggletooth)
Lineage: Eukaryota; Metazoa; Chordata; Actinopteri; Stomiiformes; Stomiidae
Description: tRNA-Asn
Source: RNAcentral